GACCUGAUAGCAUAAUGUUAGUGCAUCUGCUUCAGGUUGCAAGAAACAAGGAUCUUGAGCGGAAGGUCCCCGGUCAAUUCGGAGUCAGGUCG
Mycena vulgaris is the source of this 92-nucleotide non-coding RNA. The record is from the annotation of a GenBank genome assembly. Lineage: Eukaryota; Fungi; Basidiomycota; Agaricomycetes; Agaricales; Mycenaceae.